RNAcentral lists this ribosomal RNA (426 nucleotides) under uncultured bacterium. RNAcentral describes it as "bacterial SSU rRNA". It matches the Rfam family "Bacterial small subunit ribosomal RNA", at positions 97 to 520 of the family's 1533-position model. The record is from RNAcentral.
GGCGAACGGGUGAGUAACGCGUGGAUGACCUGCCCUUUAGCGGGGAAUAACCCGGGGAAACUCGGGCUAAUACCGCAUAAGACCGAGAGGUGAAAGGGGGCUCGCAAGGGCUCUCGCUGAAGGAGGGGUCCGCGUCCGAUUAGCUAGUUGGUAGGGUAAUGGCCUACCAAGGCGACGAUCGGUAGCCGGCCUGAGAGGGUGAUCGGCCACACUGGAACUGAGACACGGUCCAGACUCCUACGGGAGGCAGCAGUGGGGAAUUUUGCGCAAUGGGCUAACGCCUGACGCAGCAACGCCGCGUGGAGGAUGAAGGUCUUUGGAUUGUAAACUCCUGUCAGCAGGGAAAAAGGGAGGGGACCUAAUACGUCCUCGACUUGAUUGUACCUGCAGAGGAAGCCCCGGCUAACUCUGUGCCAGCAGCCGCGG